GAAAAUCCCAUCUUGAUUGACCAUGUCUCACAGCAUGCUUCUUGACAAACCCGAAAGCUACCUUUAUAACUACCCUAUUACGGCGUAGCGUUUGAUAGCCCCUAAGUAGGUCGAUCCACAUCUUGAAUACAUGCGACAAUCUCAGGUCUAAGGACAAAGCGUAUAUGUUGUUUAAAGAGAGAACUACUUCUCGUGUUGGGUCAAUCCUAGCACAUGUCUCCACAUGUGCCCACAUUAUUAGUUCAACAUCUCCAUGUCCAUGACUUGUGAAACAUAGUCAUCAACUAAUACAUGUGCUAGUCUAAUAUUCAUGUGUGUCCUCACAUAAACUCCGACUAGGGACAACUUUAGAAUAACCAUACAAGUAAAGAGUUUCACACACAAUUCACAUAAUUGCAAAUCAAUUCAAGUAGCCUUUAAUGGAUAUUCAAGGAACACAAUAUAAAUCAUGGAUACAAAUGGAAUAUCAUCAUCUCUAUGAUUGCCUCUAGGGCAUACCUCCAACAGUCUCCCACUUGCACUAGAGUCAAUCUAGAAGGUACCUAAUACUCAUAGCUCUUACAUGCGCAUCAUACUUAGCCUGCGAGAGUGGUUUUGUCAACGGAUCAGAAAUGUUCAGAUCCGUGUGUAUUUUGCAUAUCUUGAUCUCAC
RNAcentral lists this long non-coding RNA (651 nucleotides) under Setaria viridis. Its description in RNAcentral is "long non-coding RNA (SVIR_LNC000398)". The record is from RNAcentral. Lineage: Eukaryota; Viridiplantae; Streptophyta; Magnoliopsida; Poales; Poaceae.